Molecule: ribosomal RNA, 1239 nt
Filed under: Salmonella enterica
Lineage: Bacteria; Pseudomonadati; Pseudomonadota; Gammaproteobacteria; Enterobacterales; Enterobacteriaceae
Description: partial 23S ribosomal RNA
Rfam family: Bacterial large subunit ribosomal RNA
Source: RNAcentral
GGGUUGUGAGGUUAAGCGACUAAGCGUACACGGUGGAUGCCCUGGCAGUCAGAGGCGAUGAAGGGCGUGCUAAUCUGCGAUAAGCGCCGGUAAGGUGAUAUGAACCGUUAUAACCGGCGAUACCCGAAUGGGGAAACCCAGUGUGACUCGUCACACUAUCAUUAACUGAAUCCAUAGGUUAAUGAGGCGAACCGGGGGAACUGAAACAUCUAAGUACCCCGAGGAAAAGAAAUCAACCGAGAUUCCCCCAGUAGCGGCGAGCGAACGGGGAGGAGCCCAGAGCCUGAAUCAGCAUGUGUGUUAGUGGAAGCGUCUGGAAAGGCGCGCGAUACAGGGUGACAGCCCCGUACACAAAAGCGCAUGUGCUGUGAGCUCGAUGAGUAGGGCGGGACACGUGGUAUCCUGUCUGAAUAUGGGGGGACCAUCCUCCAAGGCUAAAUACUCCUGACUGACCGAUAGUGAACCAGUACCGUGAGGGAAAGGCGAAAAGAACCCCGGCGAGGGGAGUGAAAAAGAACCUGAAACCGUGUACGUACAAGCAGUGGGAGCACAGGUUUACCUGUGUGACUGCGUACCUUUUGUAUAAUGGGUCAGCGACUUAUAUUCUGUAGCAAGGUUAACCGAAUAGGGGAGCCGGAGGGAAACCGAGUCUUAACCGGGCGUUAAGUUGCAGGGUAUAGACCCGAAACCCGGUGAUCUAGCCAUGGGCAGGUUGAAGGUUGGGUAACACUAACUGGAGGACCGAACCGACUAAUGUUGAAAAAUUAGCGGAUGACCUGUGGCUGGGGGUGAAAGGCCAAUCAAACCGGGAGAUAGCUGGUUCUCCCCGAAAGCUAUUUAGGUAGCGCCUCGUGAACUCAUCUCCGGGGGUAGAGCACUGUUUCGGCUAGGGGGCCAUCCCGGCUUACCAACCCGAUGCAAACUGCGAAUACCGGAGAAUGUUAUCACGGGAGACACACGGCGGGUGCUAACGUCCGUCGUGAAGAGGGAAACAACCCAGACCGCCAGCUAAGGUCCCAAAGUCAUGGUUAAGUGGGAAACGAUGUGGGAAGGCCCAGACAGCCAGGAUGUUGGCUUAGAAGCAGCCAUCAUUUAAAGAAAGCGUAAUAGCUCACUGGUCGAGUCGGCCUGCGCGGAAGAUGUAACGGGGCUAAACCAUGCACCGAAGCUGCGGCAGCGACACUGUGUGUUGUUGGGUAGGGGAGCGUUCUGUAAGCCUGUGAAGGUGUGUCGUGAGGC